GACGAACGCUGGCGGCGUGCCUAAUACAUGCAAGUUGAGCGCUGAAGGUUGGUACUUGUACCAUCUGGAUGAGCAGCGAACGGGUGAGUAACGCGUGGGGAAUCUGCCUUUGAGCGGGGGACAACAUUUGGAAACGAAUGCUAAUACCGCAUAAAAACUUUAAACACAAGUUUUAAGUUUGAAAGAUGCAAUUGCAUCACUCAAAGAUGAUCCCGCGUUGUAUUAGCUAGUUGGUGAGGUAAAGGCUCACCAAGGCGAUGAUACAUAGCCGACCUGAGAGGGUGAUCGGCCACAGUGGGACUGAGACACGGCCCAAACUCCUACGGGAGGCAGCAGUAGGGAAUCUUCGGCAAUGGACGAAAGUCUGACCGAGCAACGCCGCGUGAGUGAAGAAGGUUUUCGGAUCGUAAAACUCUGUUGGUAGAGAAGAACGUUGGUGAGAGUGGAAAGCUCAUCAAGUGACGGUAACUACCCAGAAAGGGACGGCUAACUACGUG
Molecule: ribosomal RNA, 497 nt
Filed under: uncultured bacterium
Lineage: Bacteria
Description: partial 16S ribosomal RNA
Rfam family: Bacterial small subunit ribosomal RNA
Source: RNAcentral